UUGGAGGGCAAGUCAAGUGCCAGCAGCCGCAGGUAAUUCCAGUUCCAAUAGCGUAUAUUAAAGUAAAGCAGUUGCAAAGCUCGUAUCGAAUUUCGGGAUUGAUGUUAGUAGGUUGCCCUAAGGGGUAUGAACUGUUGCAGUCGAUGUUUCACCUUUCCGAGAAACUUGAAAUCCCUAAAAGGGGGUCAUGCGGAAACUGGACCUUUACCCUGAAAAAAAUAGAGAGUUUAAAGCACACAUUAAGCUCGAAUUCCUUAGCCAGGGAUUAUAGAAUUGGAUCGCUUGAUUCUAUUUUGUUGGUUUCUAGGAUCGCCGUAAUGAUUAAUAGGGAUAGUUGGGGGCAUUAGUAUUCAAUUGUCAGAGGUGAAAUUCUUGGAUUUAUUGAAGACUAACUACUGCGAAAGCAUUUGCCAAGGAUGUUUUCAUUAAUCAAGAACGAAAGUUAGGGGAUCGAAGACGAUCAGAUACCGUCGUAGUCUUAACCAUAAACUAUGCCGACUAGGGAUCGGAUGAUGUUAAUUUUUUAAUGACUCAUUCGGCGCCUUACGGGAAAC
Molecule: ribosomal RNA, 554 nt
Filed under: uncultured Entrophosporaceae
Lineage: Eukaryota; Fungi; Glomeromycota; Glomeromycetes; Entrophosporales; Entrophosporaceae
Description: bacterial SSU rRNA
Rfam family: Eukaryotic small subunit ribosomal RNA
Source: RNAcentral